This 1997-nucleotide long non-coding RNA is filed under the name Homo sapiens (human). Its description in RNAcentral is "HSALNT0085618". The record is from RNAcentral. Lineage: Eukaryota; Metazoa; Chordata; Mammalia; Primates; Hominidae.
GAUAGGGAGCAGUGGUACAUGUUGCAUUCCAGGUAACCACUGCUUCAGAAAGAGACGUAGCAGUACUCUUCAGCCAAGCUGGUUGUCUUUGGUCAAAAGCAGAGAAACAAGGUGUGCCCCUUUUCUUUGGAGAGCAGAAUGAAGAAGAUACUUUUUAAAGUUUCUUUCUAUCUCCUACCUCUAUCGGUCAGUAUGAUCAUCAGGGAGUUGAUGUUUCUGCAAUUUUGUGUCAUAUCAGUUUCCCUUUAUAGCUGCUGGGAAGUUACACCCUGGUCCUUGCAUGUGGUGCAUCAUCAGAUUCUGCAAAUCAUUGGAGUAUCCAGACUUGGAGCGAUGACCCUACAUAAAGGAAGCAGGUAGACCCGAAAUUAAAGGUCACCUAAUGGGAAAAGAGUCAGAAUAAAUUAAGACAAGCCAUAUCCUGCUGCUUCUCAUCCCUAUGUCUGACCGCGGCAGUGCCCUGAAAAGUUGUGCCAAAUGAUGAGCUGACGGGAGAAUAAUUAAAGUCAUUCAAUUAUCAAGUGUUUAUGGAAGAUCAACUAUGAGCCAGGAACUGUGCUGCAUUAUGGAGAUACGACAGUGAACCUGACAGAUACCAAAUCUGCCUUCUCAAAUAUCUAGUGUCAGAAUGCAUUGCUUUGAAUUUCCUCCAAGAAAGUCUAGCCAGAGUAAAUGCAAUAGACUCUUCUGACAUAGGAAAAAGUACGACAUGUUCUUUAAUUGUUUUACCCUAAGUAUCUCAAAAAAUACAAUGACAAAAUUUACAUCUAAGAACAUAAAUUGAUAUGUAUAAUAAUGUUAUUUUUAAACUUUUAAUAAUUUAAGCAACAAGCCUCUCAUUCAAAUGGAUAAUUUAUUGGAAAGGAAAUCAGGCACAGUUAUUAGAAAUAAAUAACUUGUGAUUACUCAAGUUUAAACAAAAAUAUUAAUGUCACAGCUUCAGUAGAUUGACUAAUCAUCAUCUUAAACUAUAUAGAGAUACAGGGGAGAUGAAAUGAAAAUUGGAACAGAUAGGUUUGAGGUAGGAGGAAGGCAGGCAGAAGAGUAAACGUAGACAGGCUAUUAUUAAGUUCUGGAUUGCUGUAGGGUUGACAAGUUCAGAGAGUAAUCUUAAAACUUUAGAAUUCUGAUAAUUUAUUUUUGUUCCUCAACUGAGAGGGAGAUUCAAAAAGGAGGUAUCAGAAAGUGAGGCAAAGUUUAAAAUUUAACCUAUUUUAUUGGCCUUGGUAGAAAAUAUUAUAUAUUUUUGACUAAAAAAUAAUAAUACAUUUGGAUUUUAUUUUACACUUAAACAUCCACUUUCACAAAUAAUUACAAAAAAUUAUAAUGUUCACAGUAACAGCUAACGAUACUUAUCUGCAAGGAAAGUAAAACAGAAUAUGAUAUCAUGAAAAAUAGUUCAUUAUAUAAGUGGAAUUAAAUGUAAUAGAUGUAUAACAUCAUAUAUUUCCAUAUGUAUAUUUAAUUAUGUACAUUUCUAUAUAUAUGAAGAUGUAUAUACUAUUACAUAUAUAUUAUAUAGCAUACAAUUUAUAUAUGAACAGAUAUGUUCCAUUGUUCUAAAAUACAUAUGUAAUCAUAUAGUCUUAAAUUUCCAUUCUUCCCAAACCCACAUGUAACCAACUCUCAGCCAUUUGUUAAUUCAAUCACUGUUUAUUGACCUAUGAUACUCCAGUUAUUGUUUCUGGUUGUUAGACCGAGUGUUGAAUAAGAAUGAAUCAUCUCUAUACUCAUAGAUCAUGCAUUAUAGAAGGAAAGAGAGAUGUAACACAUGCACAUAAAUACCAAUUAAUAGCCUUUUAUUUUGAACAAAUGGGUGAAAUGGGCAAAACAAUAUUCUCACUUUAUUUUGAAAUAGAGACUUUUUACUCAUAAUUUUUAAAGACUUCAAAGCAAAUAUUUUUAGAAAUGACAAUUAUUUGUCUCUAAAGUUGGUGAUACUCUUUGUGAAAGAAAUAAUUUUAUUCCUCUAUUAAUUUAAUAUUGGUCUGCAUCAG